GACGAACGCUGGCGGCGUGCCUAAUACAUGCAAGUCGAACGAAGCUGUUUUAACUGGUGCUUGCACCGACUUAAACAACUGAGUGGCGAACGGGUGAGUAACACGUGGGUAACCUGCCCCAAAGCGGGGGAUAACAUUUAGAAACAGAUGCUAAUACCGCAUAACCACAGAAACCACAUGGUUUCUGUGUCAAAGAUGGUUUCGGCUAUCACUUUGGGAUGGACCCGCGGCGUAUUAGCUAGUUGGUAAGGUAAUGGCUUACCAAGGCAAUGAUACGUAGCCGAACUGAGAGGUUGAUCGGCCACAUUGGGACUGAGACACGGCCCAAACUCCUACGGGAGGCAGCAGUAGGGAAUCUUCCACAAUGGACGAAAGUCUGAUGGAGCAACGCCGCGUGAGUGAAGAAGGUUUUCGGAUCGUAAAGCUCUGUUGUCAGAGAAGAACGUGUGCGAGAGUAACUGCUCGUGCAGUGACGGUAUCUGGCCAGAAAGCCACGGCUAACUACGUGCCAGCCGCCGCAGAA
Molecule: ribosomal RNA, 523 nt
Filed under: uncultured bacterium
Lineage: Bacteria
Description: partial 16S ribosomal RNA
Rfam family: Bacterial small subunit ribosomal RNA
Source: RNAcentral